AGAGUUUGAUCCUGGCUCAGAAUGAACGUUGGCGGCGUGGAUUAGGCAUGCAAGUCGAGCGAGAAUCGGUCUUCGGAUCGAGGACAGCGGCGAACGGAGUAGGAAUACCUCGGUGACGUACCCCCGGGUCGGGGAUAGCGGCGGGAAACUGCCGGUAAUACCCGAUACUCUGCCUUGAUUUUAGUUUGGGGCAGCAAAGGUGUGAUUCCGUCUGGGGAGCGGCCGAGGUCGUAUUAGCUAGUUGGUAAGGUAACGGCUUACCAAGGCGAUGAUGCGUAGGGGGUGUGAGAGCAUGGCCCCCACCACUGGCACUGAGACACUGGCCAGACACCUACGGGUGGCUGCAGUCGGGAAUCUUCGGCAAUGGGCGCAAGCCUGACCGAGCGACGCCGCGUGCGGGAUGAAGGUCUUCGGAUUGUAAACCGCUGUCGGAGGGGAUGAAAUGCAUGGGGGUACUCCCCUGUGUUUGACAGAGCCUCGGAGGAAGCACGGGCUAAGUUCGUGCCAGCAGCCGCGGUAAUACGAACUGUGCGAACGUUAUUCGGAAUCACUGGGCUUAAAGGGUGCGUAGGCGGCGGCACAAGUCAGGUGUGAAAUCCCCCGGCUCAACCGGGGAACAGCGCUUGAAACUAGGUCGCUCGAGUGAGGCAGGGGUGUAUGGAACUUCCGGUGGAGCGGUGAAAUGUGUAGAUAUCGGAAGGAACGCCGGCGGCGAAAGCGGUACACUGGGCCUUGUCUGACGCUGAGGCACGAAAGCUAGGGGAGUGAACGGGAUUAGAUACCCCGGUAAUCCUAGCCGU
This 800-nucleotide ribosomal RNA is filed under the name uncultured bacterium. RNAcentral describes it as "bacterial SSU rRNA". It matches the Rfam family "Bacterial small subunit ribosomal RNA", at positions 8 to 803 of the family's 1533-position model. The record is from RNAcentral.